RNAcentral lists this ribosomal RNA (483 nucleotides) under uncultured bacterium. RNAcentral describes it as "partial 16S ribosomal RNA". It matches the Rfam family "Bacterial small subunit ribosomal RNA", at positions 30 to 506 of the family's 1533-position model. The record is from RNAcentral.
AUUGAACGCUGGCGGCAUGCUUUACACAUGCAAGUCGAACGGCAGCACGGGCUUCGGCCUGGUGGCGAGUGGCGAACGGGUGAGUAAUAUAUCGGAACGUACCCAGGAGUGGGGGAUAACGUAGCGAAAGUUACGCUAAUACCGCAUACGAUCUAUGGAUGAAAGCAGGGGACCGCAAGGCCUUGUGCUCCUGGAGCGGCCGAUAUCUGAUUAGCUAGUUGGUGAGGUAAAGGCUCACCAAGGCGACGAUCAGUAGCUGGUCUGAGAGGACGACCAGCCACACUGGACCUGAGACACGGUCCAGACUCCUACGGGAGGCAGCAGUGGGAAAUUUUGGACAAUGGGCGCAAGCCUGAUCCAGCAAUGCCGCGUGAGUGAAGAAGGCCUUCGGGUUGUAAAGCUCUUUUGUCAGGGAAGAAACGGUAGAGGCUAAUAUCCUUUGCUAAUGACGGUACCUGAAGAAUAAGCACCGGCUAACUACGU